Molecule: ribosomal RNA, 429 nt
Filed under: Actinomycetes bacterium
Lineage: Bacteria; Bacillati; Actinomycetota; Actinomycetes
Description: Actinobacteria bacterium partial 16S ribosomal RNA
Rfam family: Bacterial small subunit ribosomal RNA
Source: RNAcentral
UAGGGAAUCUUCCGCAAUGGGCGAAAGCCUGACGGAGCAACGCCGCGUGAGUGAUGAAGGUCUUCGGAUCGUAAAACUCUGUUAUUAGGGAAGAACAAAUGUGUAAGUAACUAUGCACGUCUUGACGGUACCUAAUCAGAAAGCCACGGCUAACUACGUGCCAGCAGCCGCGGUAAUACGUAGGUGGCAAGCGUUAUCCGGAAUUAUUGGGCGUAAAGCGCGCGUAGGCGGUUUUUUAAGUCUGAUGUGAAAGCCCACGGCUCAACCGUGGAGGGACAUUGGAAACUGGAAAACUUGAGUGCAGAAGAGGAAAGUGGAAUUCCAUGUGUAGCGGUGAAAUGCGCAGAGAUAUGGAGGAACACCAGGGGCGAAGGCGACUUUCUGGUCUGUAACUGACGCUGAUGUGCGAAAGCGUGGGGAUCAAACAGG